RNAcentral lists this ribosomal RNA (253 nucleotides) under uncultured bacterium. RNAcentral describes it as "partial 16S ribosomal RNA". It matches the Rfam family "Bacterial small subunit ribosomal RNA", at positions 524 to 776 of the family's 1533-position model. The record is from RNAcentral.
UACGGGGGGGGUAAGCGUUGUUCGGAAUUACUGGGCGUAAAGGGCUCGUAGGCGGCCUACUAAGUCAGACGUGAAAUCCCUCAGCUUAACUGGGGAACUGCGUCUGAUACUGGAUGGCUUGGAUUCGGGAGAGGAAUGCGGAAUUCCAGGUGUAGCGGUGAAAUGCGUAGAUAUCUGGAGGAACACCGGUGGCGAAGGCGGCAUUCUGGACCGACAUUGACGCUGAGGAGCGAAAGCCAGGGGAGCAAACGGG